This 880-nucleotide ribosomal RNA is filed under the name uncultured bacterium. RNAcentral's name for it is "bacterial SSU rRNA". It matches the Rfam family "Bacterial small subunit ribosomal RNA", at positions 11 to 885 of the family's 1533-position model. The record is from RNAcentral.
GUUUGAUCCUGGCUCAGAACGAACGCUGGCGGCGGGCCUCAUACAUGCAAGUCGAGCGCGUGUAGCAAUACACGAGCGGCGUACGGGUGAGUAACGGGUGGAUAACCUGCCUCCGGGUGGGGGAUAACGGCUGGAAACGGCCGCUAAUACCGCAUACGGUUGCCGGCCUUUGGGCUGGUAAAGAAAGGGGCUUCACAGCCUCGCCGGGAGAUGGGUCCGCCUUCGAUUAGCUAGUUGGUGGGGUAAUGGCCUACCAAGGCGAUGAUCGAUAGCCGAACUGAGAGGUUGAUCGGCCACACUGGAACUGAGACACGGUCCAGACACCUACGGGUGGCAGCAGUAGGGAGUAUUGCGCAAUGGGCGAAAGCCUGACGCACCCACGCCGCGUGGAUGAUGAAGGCCUUCGGGUCGUAAAGUCCUUUUAUGAGGGAAGAACGGUCUGGUGAGGAAAUGCACUGGGCGUGACGGUACCUCAGGAAUAAGCCACGGCUAACUCUGUGCCAGCAGCCGCGGUAAUACAGAGGUGGCUAGCGUUGUUCGGAUUUACUGGGCGUAAAGGGAGCGCAGGCGGCCAAAUUAGUCUGAAGUGCAAGCCCGGGGCUCAACCCCGGAAUGGCUUUGGAUACUGUUUGGCUUGAGUAUGUCAGAGGUGAGCGGAAUUCCAGGUGUAGCGGUGAAAUGCGUAGAUAUCUGGAGGAACAUCCGUGGCGAAGGCGGCUCACUGGGACACAACUGACGCUGAGGCUCGAAAGCGUGGGGAGCGAACGGGAUUAGAUACCCCGGUAGUCCACGCUGUAAACGUUGUGCACUAGGUGUGGGAGGUGUCUACCCUCUUCCGUGCCGCAGCUAACGCGUUAAGUGCACCGCCUGGGGAGUACGG